GGUUAAGUGAAUAAGGGCGCACGGUGGAUGCCUUGGCACUAGGAGCCGAUGAAGGACGGGACUAACACCGAUAUGCUUUGGGGAGCUGUACGUAAGCUAUGAUCCAGAGAUUUCCGAAUGGGGGAACCCAACAUCUUUAAUAGGAUGUUACGAUUGUGUGAAUACAUAGCACAUUCGAGGUAGACGCAGAGAACUGAAACAUCUAAGUACCUGCAGGAAGAGAAAGAAAAUUCGAUUCCCUGAGUAGCGGCGAGCGAAACGGGAAAAGCCCAAACCAGCAAGCUUGCUUGUUGGGGUUGUAGGACUCCAAUAUGGUAGUUCUUUCAGAUAGUCGAAUGACUUGGAAAAGUCAGUCAAAGAGGGUAAAAACCCCGUAGACGAAAUGUGGAAGACACCUAGGAGGAUCCUGAGUACGGCGGAACACGAGAAAUUCCGUCGGAAUCCGGGAGGACCAUCUCCCAAGGCUAAAUACUCCCUAGUGACCGAUAGUGAACCAGUACCGUGAGGGAAAGGUGAAAAGCACCCCGGAAGGGGAGUGAAAUAGAACCUGAAACCGUGUGCCUACAACAAGUCAAAGCCCGUUAAUGGGUGAUGGCGUGCCUUUUGUAGAAUGAACCGGCGAGUUACGAUUGCAUGCGAGGUUAAGUUGAAGAGACGGAGCCGCAGCGAAAGCGAGUCUGAAUAGGGCGUUUGAGUAUGUAGUCGUAGACCCGAAACCAUGUGAUCUACCCAUGUCCAGGUUGAAGGUGCGGUAAAACGCACUGGAGGACCGAACCCACGUACGUUGAAAAGUGCGGGGAUGAGGUGUGGGUAGCGGAGAAAUUCCAAACGAACUUGGAGAUAGCUGGUUCUCUCCGAAAUAGCUUUAGGGCUAGCCUCGGAAUUGAGAAUGAUGGAGGUAG
Molecule: ribosomal RNA, 902 nt
Filed under: Enterococcus faecium
Lineage: Bacteria; Bacillati; Bacillota; Bacilli; Lactobacillales; Enterococcaceae
Description: partial 23S ribosomal RNA
Rfam family: Bacterial large subunit ribosomal RNA
Source: RNAcentral